This 430-nucleotide ribosomal RNA is filed under the name uncultured bacterium. RNAcentral describes it as "bacterial SSU rRNA". It matches the Rfam family "Bacterial small subunit ribosomal RNA", at positions 917 to 1350 of the family's 1533-position model. The record is from RNAcentral.
GGGCCCGCACAAGCGGUGGAGUAUGUGGUUUAAUUCGAUGCAACGCGAAGAACCUUACCAGGACUUAAAUGUAAGUUGCAUGAUUCAGAAAUGAAUCUUUCUUCGGACUACUUACAAGGUGCUGCAUGGUUGUCGUCAGCUCGUGCCGUGAGGUGUCAGGUUAAGUCCUAUAACGAGCGCAACCCCUAUCGUUAGUUGCCAUCAAGUAAAGUUGGGAACUCUAGCGAAACUGCCGGUGCAAACCGAGAGGAAGGUGGGGAUGACGUCAAAUCAUCACGGCCCUUACGUUCUGGGCUACACACGUGCUACAAUGGUCGGUACAGAAAGCAGCCACUAUGCGAAUAGGAGCUAAUCUUUAAAACCGAUCUCAGUUCGGAUCGCAGUCUGCAACUCGACUGCGUGAAGCUGGAAUCGCUAGUAAUCGGAUAUC